Molecule: non-coding RNA, 792 nt
Filed under: uncultured bacterium
Lineage: Bacteria
Also listed under: 1 other name
Description: bacterial SSU rRNA
Rfam family: Bacterial small subunit ribosomal RNA
Source: RNAcentral
UUUUGAUCCUGGCUCAGUGCGGCUGGAUCACCUCCUUAGAGUUUGAUCCUGGCUCAGGACGAACGCUGGCGGCGUGCCUAAUACAUGCAAGUCGAGCGGAUUGUUCCUUCGGGAACAGUUAGCGGCGGACGGGUGAGUAACACGUAGGCAACCUGCCUACAGGAUCGGGAUAACUACCGGAAACGGUAGCUAAGACCGGAUACAAGACUUUGACGCAUGUCGGAGUUUGGAAACACGGAGCAAUCUGUGACCUGUAGAUGGGCCUGCGGCGCAUUAGCUAGUUGGUGAGGUAACGGCUCACCAAGGCGACGAUGCGUAGCCGACCUGAGAGGGUGAACGGCCACACUGGGACUGAGACACGGCCCAGACUCCUACGGGAGGCAGCAGUAGGGAAUCUUCCGCAAUGGACGCAAGUCUGACGGAGCAACGCCGCGUGAGUGAUGAAGGUUUUCGGAUCGUAAAGCUCUGUUGCCAGGGAAGAAAGGCCAGGAGAGUAACUGCUCCUGGAUUGACGGUACCUGAGAAGAAAGCCCCGGCUAACUGCGUGCCAGCAGCCGCGGUAAUACGUAGGGGGCAAGCGUUGUCCGGAAUUAUUGGGCGUAAAGCGCGCGCAGGCGGUCAUUUAAGUUUGGUGUUUAAUUCCGGGGCUCAACCCCGGGUCGCAUCGAAAACUGGGUGACUGGAGUGCGGGAGAGGAAAGUGGGAAUUCCACGUGUAGCGGUGRAAAUGCGUAGAGAUGUGGAGGAACACCAGUGGCGAAGGCGACUUUCUGGACCGUAACUGACGCUGAGG